CUCCCUCAGUUCUUGGUGGCGCCAAUGUAGAACCUGAGCCCGAUGCCAUCUCUUAACUUGCCGCCGCUUGAGGGAUGCUGCGCUUCCGUCCAUCGCCUCGGGGUGCGAUUUCCGGCGAGACUGCCGUGUCUGGAUUUCAUUCGCCACCGUUGGCAGAUUCCGAGAAUCGGCGAAGUCGCCACAGCUCUGGUUCAGUGCGUCGUCAUUCCCGAUUUAGAGCUGGCAGUAGUCUCCCCCCUCCAACCUAAAGCUAAGUUUUAAACUUGCUUCUUCUUCUUUUCAUUGCAAUGAAGUAUCGAUACACAUAGAGGCUUAUUCGAGCAAGAGAAGUCAGAGCUUAAUUGUUCUAAAAGUGAGCAUGUUGUGGUUGUAUUUGUUCGUCUAUCAGUAAUAGUGGUGAGUUAAAGUGUUCCCCAUAUUCUGUGUCUGUGGAGUCUAUUGUUGUUCAUCGAAUACAUGAAUCAGAUGUAACAUAUCUCUAUAUCCCUAGAGUAAAGGCAGUGUAGUCUGCUGUUGCUACAUAAACUUAUGUGAAUAACUAAUCAUGCUCAUCUCCGAUUAGCAGCAUUCAUUAAAAAAAUCAUGCUAUGAUGAUGCGUGAAGCAUGUACAUGGAGAUAGUGAACUGGGAUAACGUAUAAUACCUUGAGGAUAUGGAUGUGGUGGCUGUUUGCUGCUGUGUUGAAUUAAAUGCAGGGGAUGGAAAUUGAAAUAGAGUAAUCUUGGUAACUACCUUAAUGAAUGAAGGUGAAAUUGUGGCAGGGAGUAUUAAAGUUCAAGGUGAAGCUUACCUCGAAAUAGCUUGGUGUUGGUUAUAUUAUCUGCUGCUGUAGUUGACUGAUCUUAAUUGGGGGUAACUGAAACAUAACAGUGGUUAUUCUUGCAUUAAUGCAGGUGAAAUCUUGGAGGAGUUGAAGAGAGUUAAAGAAGUUUACCUCAUUGGCAGAGAUGGAUGAAUGAUUUCCUCUCUUCUUCACGUGAGCUGUUAGAGUAUAAUGGAGAAGGAGUGUUAGGAGGUUGUUUGCUGAAAUGAUAGGUAAAAAGGGUUGAAGGCUGGCUGGAGCUUGAGUACCUACUAAAUGGUAGGGUGGCUGAUGUGAGUCCUAUGUGUACCUUGGGUAUGGCUGUUGUGGCAGAGGUGGAGUGCUUACUGCUGUUGCAGUUGCUGCAGAAAAUGGGGAGGGGACGCAACUGAUCUUAUUCUCCCCUCUCCCUUUAUUACUCCUUCCGUCCACCAAAAAAACUCCCAGUUGGAGUUCGGCAUGGAGACUAAAAUAGCUGAAAAAGGUGGUGUAAAAGACUAAAAGGAUAGUGUUUAUGUAUUGUGAUUACUUUUACUAAUCUUCCACUAACUAUUUGAUAAUAAUAAUAAUAAUAACAACAAUAAUAAUAAUAAUAACAAUAACAAUAACAAUAAUAAUAAUAAGGAUAAUAAUAAUAAUAAUAAUAACAAUAAUAAUAACAAUAACAAUAACAAUAAUAAGAAUAAGAAUAAUAAUAAUAACAAUAAUAAUAAUAAUAAUAACAACAAUAAUAAUAAUAAUAAUAAUAAUAAUAAUAAUAAUAAUAAUAACAACAACAAAAACAACAACAAUAAUAAUAAUCAUAAUAAUAAUAACAAUAACAAUAUUAUAAUAAUAAUAAUAAUAAUAAUAAUAAUAAUAACAACAAUAAUAAGAAUAAUAAGAAUAAGAAUAACAAUAAUAAGGAUAAUAAUAAGGAUAACGAUAAUAAUAAUAAUAAUAAUAACAAUAAUAAUAAUAAUAACAAUAACAAUAAUAAUAAUAAUAAUAAUAGUCGUAAAAAUAAUAAUAAUAAUAAUAAUAAUAAUAAUAAUAAUAAUAACAACAACAAUAACAAUAACAAUAAGGAUAAUAACAAUAAUUAAUUAAAUGAGAUUUUAUUAAAAAAGAGAAGAAAAAACAGACCUAAAACCCUUGAGAACACAGAGGAGUUAACUAAGGGCCGAGCCUCAUUAAAACCCUUUUAAGGCAAACCCAAACGGGAAAAUCCUUAAAAGGGAAAAAGAGUGCUCGUCUAGAAAAGACUGCGAGGGAGCGGAGAAGAGACAGCUUCAGAAGUUCCGGCCUAACCAUCACCCCUAAGCCGCUCGGCUCCCAAACGCAGCGAAAGCAAACAAACAAAAACGAAAAAAACAACAAAAAAACCCAGCAAAAGAGACAGAAAAAACCACACCGUUCCUCCAAACGAAAAAAACCAACGAAGCCCAAGAGAACUGGCCUAUCAAAACACGAAAACAGAGGGCCACCCAAACCCAGCAGAACAAUCCAGCCGUUCUUCAAGCAAAACGAACUCGGACGCAGAGUACGGCGACCCCGGCCGCGAACACCUGCUCUCAUGCCCAUUCUAGAACGCUCCUUGCAACAAGGAAGUCCAACGACAAACCUAGGAGAAAGAAAGUGAUAGAACACCAAGACUACCGUUCAUCAACGACCCAAACAACGGAGCCAUAAAAACUCGACGCCGACGCAACAACAACAACGCCGCGGAGCUUCCCAGACGAACCAAAACUCACAGCCCCAGUUCCGAGCUCACCCGGAAGCUGAAAAAAGGCCCUGAUCUUGGUCCCUAACCAACACCAACGACAAUCCAGCAAAAAACCCGCACAAAGAAACCAAUAAGUAAUAGGAACCCAAAGCGCCGACCAGAUGUUUGUGAAAAAUCCAAGCUUGUCAAAACAUAAAAGAUGCGGUCCCUCCAAGCAAAGACGCCAUCCCAGGAGGGAAUCAGCAUGAUUAUCAAAAGAAAAGGGUGAUAGAACACCAUGGCUCCCGUUCAUCAACGACCCGAACAACAGGACCAAAAACUCAACGCCGACGCAUCUGCUAGCAACGUCGCGGAGCUUCCAAAACGAACCAAAACUCAUAGCCCCAGCUCCGAGCUCACCCGGAAACUGAAAAAAGGCUAAGAGAUUAGUCCCUAAACCCCCGCCCCUGUCAAACCAUCUCAUACCCGCACAGAACUCCCAUCUUCUAUCAAACAACCAGAACGCAUACCAGGUGUUUGUGAAAGAGUCCAGGCAGCCAACGAGCAAGUAUAGCUUCUGCCACAUCCAAAGCCCAAUCAUCCGCGAAUGCGUAUAUGGCUGUGAGUGGCCAUGUCCGUCCUGACCGCUUUUUUGAUGGCCUCGACCUCGUGCGGCCACCACCCCUCCAUCAUGUUUUGAUUGGCCAUAAUGUCCGCAGGUUUGUUGCCUUCACGAUAGAUAUGCGUAACUUGAAGAUUAAAAUUUUGUAACAGACCAAGAGUAUACUUCCAAGAAGCAAAAAAACGCCAAGGCACGUUAGAAGAUCGAGAAUUCAAAACUUAUGUGAAUAACUAAUCAUGCUCAUCUCCGAUUAGCAGCAUUCAUUAAAAAAAUCAUGCUAUGAUGAUGCGUGAAGCAUGUACAUGGAGAUAGUGAACUGGGAUAACGUAUAAUACCUUGAGGAUAUGGAUGUGGUGGCUGUUUGCUGCUGUGUUGAAUUAAAUGCAGGGGAUGGAAAUUGAAAUAGAGUAAUCUUGGUAACUACCUUAAUGAAUGAAGGUGAAAUUGUGGCAGGGAGUAUUAAAGUUCAAGGUGAAGCUUACCUCGAAAUAGCUUGGUGUUGGUUAUAUUAUCUGCUGCUGUAGUUGACUGAUCUUAAUUGGGGGUAACUGAAACAUAACAGUGGUUAUUCUUGCAUUAAUGCAGGUGAAAUCUUGGAGGAGUUGAAGAGAGUUAAAGAAGUUUACCUCAUUGGCAGAGAUGGAUGAAUGAUUUCCUCUCUUCUUCACGUGAGCUGUUAGAGUAUAAUGGAGAAGGAGUGUUAGGAGGUUGUUUGCUGAAAUGAUAGGUAAAAAGGGUUGAAGGCUGGCUGGAGCUUGAGUACCUACUAAAUGGUAGGGUGGCUGAUGUCGAGUCCCUAUGUGUACCUUGGGGUAUGGCUGUUGUGGCAGAGGUGGAGUGCUUACUGCUGUUGCAGUUGCUGCAGAAAAUGGGGAGGGGACGCAACUGAUCUUAUUCUCCCCUCUCCCUUUAUUACUCCUUCCGUCCACCAAAAAAACUCCCAGUUGGAGUUCGGCAUGGAGACUAAAAAUAGCUGAAAAAGGUGGUGUAAAAGACUAAAAGGAUAGUGUUUAUGUAUUGUGAUUACUUUUACUAAUCUUCCACUAACUAUUUGAUAAUAAUAAUAAUAAUAACAACAACAAUAAUAAUAAUAACAACAAUAAUAAUAAUAAUAACAAUAACAAUAACAAUAAUAAUAAUAAGGAUAAUAAUAAUAAUAAUAAUAACAAUAAUAAUAACAAUAACAAUAACAAUAAUAAGAAUAAGAAUAAUAAUAAUAACAAUAAUAAUAAUAAUAACAACAAUAAUAAUAAUAAUAAUAAUAAUAAUAACAACAACAACAAAAACAACAACAAUAAUAAUAAUCAUAAUAAUAAUAACAAUAACAAUAUUAUAAUAAUAAUAAUAAUAAUAAUAAUAAUAAUAACAACAAUAAUAAGAAUAAUAAGAAUAAGAAUAACAAUAAUAAGGAUAAUAAUAAGGAUAACAAUAAUAAUAAUAAUAAUAAUAAUAACAAUAAUAAUAAUAAUAACAAUAACAAUAAUAAUAAUAAUAAUAAUAGUCGUAAAAAUAAUAAUAAUAAUAAUAAUAAUAAUAAUAAUAAUAAUAAUAACAACAACAAUAACAAUAAGAAUAAUAACAAUAAUUAAUUAAAUGAGAUUUUAUUAAAAAAGAGAAGAAAAAACAGACCUAAAACCCUUGAGAACACAGAGGAGUUAACUAAGGGCCGAGCCUCAUUAAAACCCUUUUAAGGCAAACCCAAACGGGAAAAUCCUUAAAAGGGAAAAAGAGUGCUCGUCUAGAAAAGACUGCGAGGGAGCGGAGAAGAGACAGCUUCAGAAGUUCCGGCCUAACCAUCACCCCUAAGCCGCUCGGCUCCCAAACGCAGCGAAAGCAAACAAACAAAAACGAAAAAAACAACAAAAAACCCAGCAAAAGAGACAGAAAAAACCACACCGUUCCUCCAAACGAAAAAAACCAACGAAAGCUCAAGAGAACCGGCCUGGCGAAACACGAGAACAGAGGGCCACCCAAACCCAGCAGAACAUUCCAGCCGUUCUUCAAGCAAAACGAACUCGGACGCAGAGCACGGCGACCCCGGCCGCGAACACCUGCUCUCAUGCCCAUUCUAGAACGCCCCUUGCAACAAGGAAGUCCAACGACAAACCUAGGAGAAAGAAAGUGAUAGAACACCAAGACUACCGUUCAUCAACGACCCAAACAACGGAGCCAUAAAAACUCGACGCCGACGCAACAACAACAACGCCGCGGAGCUUCCCAGACGAACCAAAACUCACAGCCCCAGUUCCGAGCUCACCCGGAAGCUGAAAAAAGGCCCUGAUCUUGGUCCCUAAACAACACCAACGACAAUCCAGUAAAAAACCCGCACAAAAAAACCAAUAUGUAAUAGGAACCCAAAGCACCGACCAUAUAUUUGUGAAAAAGCCAAGUUUGCCAAAACAGAAAAGAUGCGGUCCCUCCAAACAAAGACGCCAUCCAAGGAGGGAAUCAGCAAGAUUAUCAACAGAAAAGGGUGAAAGAACACCAUGGCUCCCGUUCAUCAACGACCCGAACAACAGGACCAAAAACUCAACGCCGACGCAUCUGCUAGCAACGUCGCGGAGCUUCCAAAACGAACCAAAACUCAUAGCCCCAGCUCCGAGCGCACCCGGAAACUGAAAAAAGGCUAAGAGAUUAGUCCCUAAACCCCGCCCCUGUCAAACCAUCUCAUACCCGCACAGAACUCCCAUCUUCUAUCAAACACCCAGAACGCAUACCAAGGUGUUUGUGAAAGAGUCCAGGCAGCCAACGAGCAAGUAUAUCUUCUGCCACAUCCAAAGCCCAAUCAUCCGCGAAUGCGUAUAUGGCUGUGAGUGGCCAUGUCCGUCCUGACCGCUUUUUUGAUGGCCUCGACCUCGUGCGGCCACCACCCCUCCAUCAUGUUUUGAUUGGCCAUAAUGUCCGCAGGUUUGUUGCCUUCACGAUAGAUAUGCGUAACUUGAAGAUUAAAAUUUUGUAACAGACCAAGAGUAUACUUCCAAGAAGCAAAAAAACGCCAAGGCACGUUAGAAGAUCGAGAAUUCAAAACUUAUGUGAAUAACUAAUCAUGCUCAUCUCCGAUUAGCAGCAUUCAUUAAAAAAAUCAUGCUAUGAUGAUGCGUGAAGCAUGUACAUGGAGAUAGUGAACUGGGAUAACGUAUAAUACCUUGAGGAUAUGGAUGUGGUGGCUGUUUGCUGCUGUGUUGAAUUAAAUGCAGGGGAUGGAAAUUGAAAUAGAGUAAUCUUGGUAACUACCUUAAUGAAUGAAGGUGAAAUUGUGGCAGGGAGUAUUAAAGUUCAAGGUGAAGCUUACCUCGAAAUAGCUUGGUGUUGGUUAUAUUAUCUGCUGCUGUAGUUGACUGAUCUUAAUUGGGGGUAACUGAAACAUAACAGUGGUUAUUCUUGCAUUAAUGCAGGUGAAAUCUUGGAGGAGUUGAAGAGAGUUAAAGAAGUUUACCUCAUUGGCAGAGAUGGAUGAAUGAUUUCCUCUCUUCUUCACGUGAGCUGUUAGAGUAUAAUGGAGAAGGAGUGUUAGGAGGUUGUUUGCUGAAAUGAUAGGUAAAAAGGGUUGAAGGCUGGCUGGAGCUUGAGUACCUACUAAAUGGUAGGGUGGCUGAUGUGAGUCCUAUGUGUACCUUGGGUAUGGCUGUUGUGGCAGAGGUGGAGUGCUUACUGCUGUUGCAGUUGCUGCAGAAAAUGGGGAGGGGACGCAACUGAUCUUAUUCUCCCCUCUCCCUUUAUUACUCCUUCCGUCCACCAAAAAAACUCCCAGUUGGAGUUCGGCAUGGAGACUAAAAUAGCUGAAAAAGGUGGUGUAAAAGACUAAAAGGAUAGUGUUUAUGUAUUGUGAUUACUUUUACUAAUCUUCCACUAACUAUUUGAUAAUAAUAAUAAUAAUAACAACAACAAUAAUAAUAAUAACAACAAUAAUAAUAAUAAUAACAAUAACAAUAACAAUAAUA
RNAcentral lists this long non-coding RNA (7049 nucleotides) under Salvia miltiorrhiza (redroot sage). RNAcentral's name for it is "long non-coding RNA (SMIL_LNC002170)". The record is from RNAcentral. Lineage: Eukaryota; Viridiplantae; Streptophyta; Magnoliopsida; Lamiales; Lamiaceae.